CAGGAUGAACGCUGGCGGUAUGCCUAACACAUGCAAGUCGAACGAAGCCCUUCGGGUUAGUGGCGGACGGGUGAGUAACGCGUGAGAAUCUGCCCCAAGGAGGGGGAUAACGGCUGGAAACGGCCGCUAAUACCCCAUAUGCCGAGAGGUGAAAUGAAUUUUCGCCUGGGGAUGAGCUCGCGUCUGAUUAGCUAGUUGGUGGGGUAAGAGCCUACCAAGGCAUCGAUCAGUAGCUGGUCUGAGAGGAUGAUCAGCCACACUGGGACUGAGACACGGCCCAGACUCCUACGGGAGGCAGCAGUGGGGAAUUUUCCGCAAUGGGCGAAAGCCUGACGGAGCAACGCCGCGUGAGGGAUGAAGGCCUCUGGGCUGUAAACCUCUUUUAUCAAGGAAGAAGAUCUGACGGUACUUGAUGAAUAAGCCACGGCUAAUUCCGUGCCAGCAGCCGCGGUAAUACGGGAGUGGCAAGCGUUAUCCGGAAUUAUUGGGCGUAAAGCGUCCGCAGGCGGUCUUGUAAGUCUGUCGUUAAAGCGUGGAGCUUAACUCCAUUUAAGCGAUGGAAACUGCAAGACUAGAGUGUGGUAGGGGCAGAGGGAAUUCCCGGUGUAGCGGUGAAAUGCGUUGAUAUCUAGGGGAACGCCAGUGGUGAAAACGGGUCGCUGGGCCUGUCCUGACGCUGAGACGCGAAAGCGUGGGGAGCGAACGGGAUUAGAUACCCCGGUAGUCCACGCCGUAAACGAUGCGCACUGGGUUUGUUGACCUCUGACGGUUUGCGAGCCGAAACAAAAGUGGUAAGUGCGCCGCCUGGGGAGUACGGCCGCAAGGCUAAAACUCAAAGGAAUUGGCGGGGGCUCACACAAGCGGUGGAGCAUGUUGCUUAAUUCGAUGCAACGCGAAGAACCUUACCUGGGUUUGACAUGUAUGGAUGCCCUCUAAGAAACUAGAGUAAGCUGUCUUCGGAUGAAACAUACACAGGUGCUGCAUGGCUGUCGUCAGCUCGUGCUGUGAAGUGUUGGGUUAAGUCCCUUAACGAGCGAAACCCCUGUCGCUAGUUGCCAGCGGUUCGGCCGGGAACUCUAGCGAGACUGCCGGCGUUAAGCCGGAGGAAGGUGGGGACGACGUCAAGUCCUCAUGGCCUUUAUGCCCAGGGUGUCACACGUGCUACAAUGGCCGUUACAGAGCGACGCGAUACCGCGAGGUGGAGCAAAUCGCAAAAAAGCGGCCUCAGUUCGGAUUGGAGUCUGCAAUUCGACUCCAUGAAGUUGGAAUCGCUAGUAAUCGCGUAUCAGCCAUGACGCGGUGAAUGUGUUCCUGAGCCUUGUACACACCGCCCGUCAAGUCAUGGAAGCUGGGAGUACCCGAAGUCCGCAC
This 1371-nucleotide ribosomal RNA is filed under the name uncultured prokaryote. RNAcentral's name for it is "partial 16S ribosomal RNA". It matches the Rfam family "Bacterial small subunit ribosomal RNA". The record is from RNAcentral.